Molecule: long non-coding RNA, 1148 nt
Organism: Drosophila virilis
Lineage: Eukaryota; Metazoa; Arthropoda; Insecta; Diptera; Drosophilidae
Source: RefSeq, a predicted model, not a curated record
CUUUCACAACAAAAACUCGUCUGGAAAUACAAAUCGUUUUUGUAUUCUGAGUCACAGCACACACACCAAAAAACAAAAAUAAAUAAAAAAAAACCAAAGAGAUUUUCUAGACAAAACGCUGCAGACUUUAUGUCUUCUAAAGACCUGGACGAGGGGAUCUAUCCGCCCGGCUUUCAUUCAUAAAUUGCUCAACGAUAUUGCCCCGUAGCUGCUGGAACAAAAGAGGUCGUCACACCUAUUUCUCUUUUUUCUUCAAUUUUUUUUAGUUUGUUUGGAAAUCAAUAUCUAAACAAUGCAAGCAGCAGCGGCGGCCCUCAACAAAUUUUCUGGCAGCCUAAUAAAAAGACGAGCAAGUAUGGUCAAGCGAAGAGUUCACGACUAGGAGAUACCUUAGUUAGUUUAUCGAGUUCGGGGCAAAUGGGGUUCGCUUAAUUUGAAUAAGACAUAAACGAAUAAAUAUACCAAAUUUUGUAACUGGAGUUCUUAAUGUCGCUCAGAUCGGAUGGACUAGAAGGAAAUUAAACCAGUAUAUAUGGAUAUUUGAAAGUGAACUAAAUUCAAAUUUACCCAGACAUAAUUUAUAUACCAACUCUGGAAACUCAAGAUAUUAUAGUCGCUGGAUUAAUAAGACACGAAACCUUGCUUCGAUUCGUCAAGAAUAUGCGUGCACAGGUAUACAAAAUUUCUUUCACCAACAACAAGCAGAAGUUUUGACACUUUAUGGCCACGAAAACUUUUGUGCGUGUAUUACGAGCAUUAUAAACUUAGGAGGCAGCUCCGACAAAUGAGCCCGCCUGUGUGGCACAGCUCGCCGGAGUGCGGGUGCGGGGCAGAUCUUGGACCGCCGCGUCGCAUUGUCUAUGGAUGCUGGUCAUCUGUCUGAGAGCGAGAGCAUAGCCAAUGGUUCGAUUUGAUACGAUUGGAAUCCCAUUUCGAGCGACUCAUUUGCAUGAAAAUUUGUUGCAAACACAUUUAACUGAAAUCGAAUUCUUUUGAAAAUACGUUGAAACGGUAAUUUGUUGGCCAGUUUAGAUGUGUUAUUAGCAGCGUUUAUAUGCGAGUUACGCCCAAAACGCGACAGAGAAAAAAUAAUAAUAAUAAUAUUAAUAAUAAUAAACACGAUACGAUAUCCAGAUAGUUCAGCUAGA